GAUGAACGCUGGCGGCGUGCCUAAUACAUGCAAGUCGAGCGAACAGACGAGGAGCUUGCUCCUCUGACGUUAGCGGCGGACGGGUGAGUAACACGUGGAUAACCUACCUAUAAGACUGGGAUAACUUCGGGAAACCGGAGCUAAUACCGGAUAAUAUAUUGAACCGCAUGGUUCAAUAGUGAAAGACGGUUUUGCUGUCACUUAUAGAUGGAUCCGCGCCGCAUUAGCUAGUUGGUAAGGUAACGGCUUACCAAGGCAACGAUGCGUAGCCGACCUGAGAGGGUGCUAGGCCACACUGGAACUGAGACACGGUCCAGACUCCUACGGGAGGCAGCAGUAGGGAAUCUUCCGCAAUGGGCGAAAGCCUGACGGAGCAACGCCGCGUGAGUGAUGAAGGUCUUCGGAUCGUAAAACUCUGUUAUUAGGGAAGAACAAAUGUGUAAGUAACUAUGCACGUAUUGACGGUACCUAAUCAGAAAGCCACGGCUAACUACGUG
Molecule: ribosomal RNA, 497 nt
Filed under: uncultured bacterium
Lineage: Bacteria
Description: partial 16S ribosomal RNA
Rfam family: Bacterial small subunit ribosomal RNA
Source: RNAcentral